ACGUAGGAUGCAAGCGUUGUCCGGAAUUAUUGGGCGUAAAGAGUUCGUAGGCGGCAUGUCAAGUUUGGUGUUAAAGCCCGGGGCUCAACCCCGGUUUCGCACUGGAUACUGGCAAGCUAGAGUGCAGAAGAGGCAAGUGGAAUUCCCAGUGUAGCGGUGAAAUGCGUAGAUAUUGGGAGGAACACCAGUGGCGUAAGCGGCUUGCUGGACUGUAACUGACGCUGAGGAGCGAAAGCCAGGGGAGCGAAUGG
Molecule: ribosomal RNA, 251 nt
Filed under: uncultured prokaryote
Description: partial 16S rRNA
Rfam family: Bacterial small subunit ribosomal RNA
Source: RNAcentral